Molecule: ribosomal RNA, 443 nt
Filed under: uncultured bacterium
Lineage: Bacteria
Description: partial 16S ribosomal RNA
Rfam family: Bacterial small subunit ribosomal RNA
Source: RNAcentral
CCUACGGGGGGCAGCAGUGGGGGAUAUUGGACAAUGGGGGGAACCCUGAUCCAGCGACGCCGCGUGAGUGAAGAAGUAUUUCGGUAUGUAAAGCUCUGUCAGCAGGGAAGAAAGAAAUGACGGUACCUGACCAAGAAGCCCAGGCGAACUACGUGCCAGCAGCCGCGGGAAUACGUAGGGGGCAAGCGUUAUCCGGAAUUACUGGGUGUAAAGGGAGCGUAGACGGUUAAGUAAGUCUGGAGGGAAGGGCCGGGGCCCAACCCCGGGACUGCUCUGGAAACGAGUGAACUUGAGUGCAGGAGAGGUAAGCGGAAUUCCUAGUGUAGCGGUGAAAUGCGUAGAUAUUAGGAGGAACACCAGUGGCGAAGGCGGCUUACUGGACUGUAACUGACGUUGAGGCUCGAAAGCGUGGGGAGCGAACAGGAUUAGAUACCCUUGUAGUC